This 345-nucleotide ribosomal RNA is filed under the name Triticum aestivum (bread wheat). Its description in RNAcentral is "partial small subunit ribosomal RNA". The record is from RNAcentral. Lineage: Eukaryota; Viridiplantae; Streptophyta; Magnoliopsida; Poales; Poaceae.
AUGCCUUGGGGGGCACUCCACCCCCCUGGCCGCCGCCCCCUUGGGAGAUUGGAUCUCCCAGGGCCGGCCCCCCCUGGGGGCCUAUAUAAAGGAGGGCAGGGGGGAGGGCAGCCGCACCCCUGUGCAUUGGCGCCUCCCUCCCCCUGCUACACCUCAUCCUCCUCCCGCAGCAGCUUGGCGAAGCCCUGCCGGAGUUCUACUGCAUCCACCACCACGUCGUCGUGCUGCUGGGUCAUCAUCAACCUCUCCUUCCCCCUUGCUAGAUCAAGAAGGAGGAGACGUCUCCCGUCCCGUAUGUGUGUUGAACGCGGAGGUGCUGUCCGUUCAGCACUUGGUCAUCGGUGA